GGUGGGGUCCCCGAGCGGCCAAAGGGAGCAGACUGUAAAUCUGCCGUCAUCGACUUCGAAGGUUCGAAUCCUUCCCCCACCACCA
Molecule: transfer RNA, 85 nt
Filed under: Klebsiella pneumoniae
Lineage: Bacteria; Pseudomonadati; Pseudomonadota; Gammaproteobacteria; Enterobacterales; Enterobacteriaceae
Also listed under: 2 other names
Description: tRNA-Tyr
Rfam family: tRNA
About the family: Transfer RNA (tRNA) molecules are approximately 80 nucleotides in length. Their secondary structure includes four short double-helical elements and three loops (D, anti-codon, and T loops).
Source: RNAcentral